AUUGAACGCUGGCGGCGUGCCUAACACAUGCAAGUCGAGCGGUAACAGGUGUAGCAAUACAUGCUGACGAGCGGCGAACGGGUGAGUAAUGCUUCGGAAUCUACCCAAUGGUGGGGAAUAACCAGCCGAAAGGUUGGCUAAUACCGCAUACGUCCUACGGGAGAAAGCAGGGGAUCGUAAGACCUUGCGCCAAUGGAUGAGCCGAAGUCGGAUUAGCUAGUUGGAGGGUAACGGCCUACCAAGGCGACGAUCCGUAGCUGGUCUGAGAGGACGACCAGCCACACUGGGACUGAGACACGGCCCAGACUCCUACGGGAGGCAGCAGUGGGGAAUAUUGGACAAUGGGGGAAACCCUGAUCCAGCGACGCCGCGUGUGUGAAGAAGGCCUGCGGGGUUGUAAAGCACUUUUUAGUGGGGAUGAAAAGUUCAGGGCUAAUACCCCUGGAUCUUGACCUAACCCACAAGAAAAGCACCGGCUAACUCUGUGCCAG
RNAcentral lists this ribosomal RNA (491 nucleotides) under uncultured bacterium. RNAcentral describes it as "bacterial SSU rRNA". It matches the Rfam family "Bacterial small subunit ribosomal RNA", at positions 30 to 511 of the family's 1533-position model. The record is from RNAcentral.